This 1372-nucleotide ribosomal RNA is filed under the name uncultured bacterium. RNAcentral describes it as "bacterial SSU rRNA". It matches the Rfam family "Bacterial small subunit ribosomal RNA", at positions 28 to 1381 of the family's 1533-position model. The record is from RNAcentral.
GAUGAACGCUGGCGGCGUGCCUAAUACAUGCAAGUCGAGCGAACGGACGAGAAGCUUGCUUCUCUGAUGUUAGCGGCGGACGGGUGAGUAACACGUGGAUAACCUACCUAUAAGACUGGGAUAACUUCGGGAAACCGGAGCUAAUACCGGAUAAUAUUUUGAACCGCAUGGUUCAAAAGUGAAAGACGGUCUUGCUGUCACUUAUAGAUGGAUCCGCGCUGCAUUAGCUAGUUGGUAAGGUAACGGCUUACCAAGGCAACGAUGCAUAGCCGACCUGAGAGGGUGAUCGGCCACACUGGAACUGAGACACGGUCCAGACUCCUACGGGAGGCAGCAGUAGGGAAUCUUCCGCAAUGGGCGAAAGCCUGACGGAGCAACGCCGCGUGAGUGAUGAAGGUCUUCGGAUCGUAAAACUCUGUUAUUAGGGAAGAACAUAUGUGUAAGUAACUGUGCACAUCUUGACGGUACCUAAUCAGAAAGCCACGGCUAACUACGUGCCAGCAGCCGCGGUAAUACGUAGGUGGCAAGCGUUAUCCGGAAUUAUUGGGCGUAAAGCGCGCGUAGGCGGUUUUUUAAGUCUGAUGUGAAAGCCCACGGCUCAACCGUGGAGGGUCAUUGGAAACUGGAAAACUUGAGUGCAGAAGAGGAAAGUGGAAUUCCAUGUGUAGCGGUGAAAUGCGCAGAGAUAUGGAGGAACACCAGUGGCGAAGGCGACUUUCUGGUCUGUAACUGACGCUGAUGUGCGAAAGCGUGGGGAUCAAACAGGAUUAGAUACCCUGGUAGUCCACGCCGUAAACGAUGAGUGCUAAGUGUUAGGGGGUUUCCGCCCCUUAGUGCUGCAGCUAACGCAUUAAGCACUCCGCCUGGGGAGUACGACCGCAAGGUUGAAACUCGAAGGAAUUGACGGGGACCCGCACAAGCGGUGGAGCAUGUGGUUUAAUUCGAAGCAACGCGAAGAACCUUACCAAAUCUUGACAUCCUUUGACAACUCUAGAGAUAGAGCUUUCCCCUUCGGGGGACAAAGUGACAGGUGGUGCAUGGUUGUCGUCAGCUCGUGUCGUGAGAUGUUGGGUUAAGUCCCGCAACGAGCGCAACCCUUAAGCUUAGUUGCCAUCAUUAAGUUGGGCACUCUAAGUUGACUGCCGGUGACAAACCGGAGGAAGGUGGGGAUGACGUCAAAUCAUCAUGCCCCUUAUGAUUUGGGCUACACACGUGCUACAAUGGACAAUACAAAGGGCAGCGAAACCGCGAGGUCAAGCAAAUCCCAUAAAGUUGUUCUCAGUUCGGAUUGUAGUCUGCAACUCGACUACAUGAAGCUGGAAUCGCUAGUAAUCGUAGAUCAGCAUGCUACGGUGAAUACGUUCCCGGGUCU